UGGGGAAUAUUGGACAAUGGGCGAAAGCCUGAUCCAGCCAUGCCGCGUGUGUGAAGAAGGUCUUCGGAUUGUAAAGCACUUUAAGUUGGGAGGAAGGGCAUUAACCUAAUACGUUAGUGUUUUGACGUUACCGCCAGAAUAAGCACCGGCUAACUCUGUGCCAGCAGCCGCGGUAAUACAGAGGGUGCAAGCGUUAAUCGGAAUUACUGGGCGUAAAGCGCGCGUAGGUGGUUUGUUAAGUUGGAUGUGAAAUCCCCGGGCUCAACCUGGGAACUGCAUUCAAAACUGACUGACCAGAGUAUGGUAGAGGGUGGUGGAAUUUCCUGUGUAGCGGUGAAAUGCGUAGAUAUAGGAAGGAACACCAGUGGCGAAGGCGACCACCUGGACUAAUACUGACACUGAGGUGCGAAAGCGUGGGGAGCAAACA
This 427-nucleotide ribosomal RNA is filed under the name uncultured bacterium. RNAcentral's name for it is "partial 16S ribosomal RNA". It matches the Rfam family "Bacterial small subunit ribosomal RNA", at positions 355 to 774 of the family's 1533-position model. The record is from RNAcentral.